CACGUAGGGUGCGAGCGUUGUCCGGAAUUAUUGGGCGUAAAGAGCUCGUAGGCGGUGUGUCGCGUCGGCCGUGAAACCUGACAGCUUAACUGUGGGCGUGCGGUCGAUACGGGCAUCACUGGAGGUUCGGCAGGGAGACUGGAAUUCCUGGUGAUGAGCGGUGAAAUGCGCAGAUAUCAGGAGGAACACCGGUGGCGAAGGCGGGUCUCUGGGC
Molecule: ribosomal RNA, 214 nt
Filed under: uncultured bacterium
Lineage: Bacteria
Description: partial 16S ribosomal RNA
Rfam family: Bacterial small subunit ribosomal RNA
Source: RNAcentral